AAAGGGUUAGGCGCCGGAGAGUUGGAGGCAGUGACGGUGGUUGGUAAAUUGGGGAUCGCAGGAGUUGAAAAAUUAGGGAUUGGAGUGAAUAAAUUAUUUUUACUUUUGUAAACAGUGUAAUAAAAGAAGAGUAAGUGUAAAAGAGGGAGAAGUAAAGUAACUGAACGAAUUGUGGAGUUAGAGUUAGAGAGUUAGACAGUUAGAGGAUUGUUUAGU
This 216-nucleotide long non-coding RNA is filed under the name Capsella grandiflora. RNAcentral describes it as "long non-coding RNA (CGRA_LNC000792)". The record is from RNAcentral. Lineage: Eukaryota; Viridiplantae; Streptophyta; Magnoliopsida; Brassicales; Brassicaceae.